This 82-nucleotide transfer RNA is filed under the name Candidatus Moduliflexus flocculans. It matches the Rfam family "tRNA". From Rfam's summary of the family: Transfer RNA (tRNA) molecules are approximately 80 nucleotides in length. Their secondary structure includes four short double-helical elements and three loops (D, anti-codon, and T loops). The record is from Rfam by way of RNAcentral. Lineage: Bacteria; Candidatus Moduliflexota; Candidatus Moduliflexia; Candidatus Moduliflexales; Candidatus Moduliflexaceae.
GCCGAAGUGGUGGAAUUGGUAGACACACUAUCUUGAGGGGGUAGCGGAGAGAUCCGUGGGGGUUCGAGUCCCCCCUUCGGCA